CUACGGGGGGCAGCAGUGGGGAAUAUUGGACAAUGGGGGAAACCCUGAUCCAGCAAUGCCGCGUGUGUGAAGAAGGCCUGCGGGUUGUAAAGCACUUUCGGUUGGGAGGACUGCUUCUAGCACUAAUAUUGUUGGAAGUUGACGUUACCUUCAGAAGAAGCACCGGCUAACUCCGUGCCAGCAGCCGCGGUAAUACGGAGGGUGCAAGCGUAAUCGGAAUUACUGGGCGUAAAGCGCGCGUAGGCGGCUAGAUCAGUCGGGUGUGAAAGCCCCGGGCUUAACCUGGGAACUGCAUCCGAUACUGUCUAGAUUGAGUACAGGAGAGGAGAGUGGAAUUCCACAUGUAGCGGUGAAAUGCGUAGAUAUGUGGAGGAAUACCAAUGGCGAAGGCAGCUCUCUGGCCUGAUACUGACGCUGAGGUGCGAAAGCGUGGGGAGCAAACAGGAUUAGAUACCCGGGUAGUC
This 464-nucleotide ribosomal RNA is filed under the name uncultured bacterium. RNAcentral's name for it is "partial 16S ribosomal RNA". It matches the Rfam family "Bacterial small subunit ribosomal RNA", at positions 339 to 795 of the family's 1533-position model. The record is from RNAcentral.